AACGUAGGUACCGAGCGUUAUCCGGAUUUACUGGGCGUAAAGCGCGUUCAGGCGGUUUGGCAAGUCGGGCAUGAAAUCUCUCGGCUCAACCGGGAGAGGUUGUCCGAUACUUCCAGACUUGAGGGCAGUAGAGGGUGGUGGAAUUCCGGGUGUAGUGGUGAAAUGCGUAGAUAUCCGGAGGAACACCAGUGGCGAAGGCGGCCGCCUGGGCCAGUCCUGACGCUGAGCCGCGAAAGCGUGGGGAGCGAUCCGG
This 253-nucleotide ribosomal RNA is filed under the name uncultured bacterium. RNAcentral's name for it is "partial 16S ribosomal RNA". It matches the Rfam family "Bacterial small subunit ribosomal RNA", at positions 524 to 776 of the family's 1533-position model. The record is from RNAcentral.